UACGGAGGGUGCGAGCGUUGUCCGGAAUCACUGGGCGUAAAGGGCGCGUAGGCUGCGCGACAAGGCGGCGGUGAAAGUCCGGGGCUCAACCCCGGAUCGGCCGUGGCGACUGUCGCGCUCGAGCACAGUAGAGGCGGGUGGAAUUCCGGGUGUAGCGGUGGAAUGCGUAGAGAUCCGGAAGAACACCGGUGGCGAAGGCGGCCCGCUGGGCUGUGGCUGACGCUGAGGCGCGACAGCGUGGGGAGCAAACAGG
This 253-nucleotide ribosomal RNA is filed under the name uncultured bacterium. RNAcentral's name for it is "partial 16S ribosomal RNA". It matches the Rfam family "Bacterial small subunit ribosomal RNA", at positions 524 to 776 of the family's 1533-position model. The record is from RNAcentral.